This 184-nucleotide ribosomal RNA is filed under the name uncultured bacterium. Its description in RNAcentral is "partial 16S ribosomal RNA". It matches the Rfam family "Bacterial small subunit ribosomal RNA", at positions 1309 to 1500 of the family's 1533-position model. The record is from RNAcentral.
AACCCGACUCCGUGAAGCUGGAUUCGCUAGUAAUCGCGCAUCAGCCAUGGCGCGGUGAAUACGUUCCCGGGCCUUGUACACACCGCCCGUCAAGCCAUGGGAGCCGGGGGUGCUUGAAGUGCGUCGCCGCGAGGCGCGCCCUAGAGCAAAACCGGUGACUGGGGCUAAGUCGUAACAAGGUACC